Molecule: ribosomal RNA, 448 nt
Filed under: uncultured bacterium
Lineage: Bacteria
Description: bacterial SSU rRNA
Rfam family: Bacterial small subunit ribosomal RNA
Source: RNAcentral
UCCCAGACUCCUACGGGAGGCAGCAGUGGGGGAUAUUGCACAAUGGGGGGAACCCUGAUGCAGCGACGCCGCGUGGGUGAAGGAGUGCUUCGGCAUGUAAAGCCCUAUCGGCAGGGAAGAAGCAAGACGGUACCUGACUAAGAAGCCCCGGCUAACUACGUGCCAGCAGCCGCGGUAAUACGUAGGGGGCAAGCGUUAUCCGGAUUUACUGGGUGUAAAGGGAGCGUAGACGGUGAGACAAGUCUGAAGUGAAAGCCCGGGGCUCAACCCCGGGACUGCUUUGGAAACUGCCUGACUGGAGUGCUGGAGAGGCAAGCGGAAUUCCUAGUGUAGCGGUGAAAUGCGUAGAUAUUAGGAGGAACACCAGUGGCGAAGGCGGCUUACUGGACUGUAACUGACGUUGAGGCUCGAAAGCGUGGGGAGCAAACAGGAUUAGAUACCCGGGUAA